AGGGUUUGAUUCUGGCUCAGGAUGAACGCUGGCGGCAUGCCUAAGACAUGCAAGUCGAACGAGGUGGUCCGAGGAAAGUGGAGUGCUUGCACAAAGCUGGAAUCGGUUCGCCACCUAGUGGCAGACGGGUGAGUAACACGUGGGUAACCUACCUUUUAGUUGGGGAUAACAGUUGGAAACGAUUGCUAAUACCGAAUAAUAUAUAUGGAUACUUUCUAUAUAUUGAAAGGAGCCUUUAAAGCUCCGCUUUAAGAUGGGCCUGCGGCGUAUUAGCUAGUUGGUGGGAUAAUGGCCUACCAAGGCAACGAUGCGUAGCCGGACUGAGAGGUUGAACGGCCACAUUGGGACUGAGACACGGCCCAA
Molecule: ribosomal RNA, 363 nt
Filed under: uncultured bacterium
Lineage: Bacteria
Description: bacterial SSU rRNA
Rfam family: Bacterial small subunit ribosomal RNA
Source: RNAcentral